ACGGAGGGUGCAAGCGUUAUUCGGAAUUACUGGGCGUAAAGCGCGUGUAGGCGGCCCUGAAAGUCAGAUGUGAAAGCCCCGGGCUUAACCCGGGAAGUGCAUUGGAAACUGCAGGUCUUGAGUAGUGGAGAGGAUGGGGGAAUUCCCGGUGUAGAGGUGAAAUUCGUAGAGAUCGGGAGGAAUAUCAGUGGCGAAGGCGCCCAUCUGGACGGUAACUGACGCUGAGCCGCGAAAGCGUGGUGAGCAAACAG
This 251-nucleotide ribosomal RNA is filed under the name uncultured prokaryote. RNAcentral describes it as "partial 16S rRNA". It matches the Rfam family "Bacterial small subunit ribosomal RNA", at positions 525 to 775 of the family's 1533-position model. The record is from RNAcentral.